GACGAACGCUGGCGGCGUGCUUAACACAUGCAAGUCGAACGGAAAGGCCCUGCUUUUGUGGGGUGCUCGAGUGGCGAACGGGUGAGUAACACGUGAGUAACCUGCCCUUGACUUUGGGAUAACUUCAGGAAACUGGGGCUAAUACCGGAUAGGAGCUCCUGCUGCAUGGUGGGGGUUGGAAAGUUUCGGCGGUUGGGGAUGGACUCGCGGCUUAUCAGCCUGUUGGUGGGGUAGUGGCUUACCAAGGCUUUGACGGGUAGCCGGCCUGAGAGGGUGACCGGCCACAUGGGGCUGGGGAACGGGCCAGGACCCAUCGGGGGGGAAGAGGGGGGGAAUAUUGCCAAAUGGGCGGAGGCUGGAUGCAGAACCGCCGGGUGGGGAAGGCCGGCUUUCGGGUUGUAAACCGCUUUCGCCUGUGACGAGGCGUAAGGGCGGGAAAUGGGUAAAGAAGCACGGGUAACUUACGU
RNAcentral lists this ribosomal RNA (467 nucleotides) under uncultured bacterium. RNAcentral describes it as "partial 16S ribosomal RNA". It matches the Rfam family "Bacterial small subunit ribosomal RNA", at positions 28 to 506 of the family's 1533-position model. The record is from RNAcentral.